GGGAGGGCCGGAGGGGGGGUUGUCACGUGACCCCUGGCUCCUCCAGGGGUCGGAGUCAGCCUGCUUCUUCCUCCCACAUCCCCGGCGAGCGCGGCCCCGCCCUUGCCGGCGCCAUUGUUGUCUGGGUGGCGGUCUUGGGCUCCCCGCGGCCGCGAGCGGUGCAACUCUUACUGCCUUGCUUUUGGAGAAGCGCGAAAGAGCUCGGCUUUGUUGCUCCCCGCCCUUGUGGGGCGGCGAGGUUCCCUCUGUGGAUAUUAGCUCACCGUGCCAGUUACCCUACUCUGCAACACCCCAACCCUGGCAAUUCGGCUCAGGGGCUUUUUGGGGAAGGCAUUUUUAAAAUACUAACUCCCCCAAGUGGUCCUCAACGCUGUCUAUCUAGCACAGUUCCUGGCUGUGGAAUUAAUGAAUGAGGCGUGCCUGUUUUAAAGAACGCUGUUGCUGCCCAUCACUGCAGGAUUCACUUUGGCCAAGAUGUUCUUGAUCACAUCUGAGGAUAUAGUUGACCCUUGAACCAUGCAGGGGUUAGGGGCACCAACCCUCCAUGCAAUUGAACAUCUGCAUAUAAUGUUUGACUCCCCCAAAUCUUAAGUACUAAUAGCUUACUGUUGACUAGAAACUUUACCAAUAAUGUAUUUUGUAUGUUAAAUGUAUUACAUGUUCUGUUCUUAAAUUAACGCCUAACUUUCUCUUAA
Long non-coding RNA from Canis lupus familiaris (dog), 695 nucleotides. RefSeq lists it as uncharacterized. NCBI's taxonomy places the organism in Eukaryota, Metazoa, Chordata, Mammalia, Carnivora, Canidae. The record is from RefSeq and is a predicted model, not a curated record. The transcript is spliced from 3 exons.